CGGACCUCAGAUCAGACAAGACCACCCGCUGAGUUUAAGGCAUAUCACUAAG
Molecule: ribosomal RNA, 52 nt
Filed under: Cheilolejeunea quinquecarinata
Lineage: Eukaryota; Viridiplantae; Streptophyta; Jungermanniopsida; Porellales; Lejeuneaceae
Description: Aureolejeunea quinquecarinata partial 26S ribosomal RNA
Source: RNAcentral